Molecule: transfer RNA, 77 nt
Filed under: Hyalomma marginatum
Lineage: Eukaryota; Metazoa; Arthropoda; Arachnida; Ixodida; Ixodidae
Also listed under: 1 other name
Description: tRNA-Asp(gtc)
Rfam family: tRNA
About the family: Transfer RNA (tRNA) molecules are approximately 80 nucleotides in length. Their secondary structure includes four short double-helical elements and three loops (D, anti-codon, and T loops).
Source: RNAcentral
GGGGAUGUAGCUCAGUUGGUUAGAGUGCCGGCCUGUCACGCCGGAGGUCGCGGGUUCGACCCCCGUCAUCCCCGCCA